CACAAGUCCACAAAGCACACAAGAAAACAGAGACAAAGUACUAGAGUUACAUAAAUUACAGUCCAACUUCACAAUUCACAAUUUAAUACUUUAUCACCAAAGUCAUAAACAAAAGCACAAACAACAACAGUCUGCAGCUCGCCAGCAAGGCUCCAGCCUCCAAGUCUCCAACCUUCAAGGUCUGCAGCUCCACUACUUCAUAACUUCACAAGGUCUGCACUCUGCAGUCUGCAGCUCGCCAAGUCCAACUGUCCAAGGCAGCAAGCCUCCACUCGAGCACAUGCAAGUCUGCAACCUGGUAGGCUGGUAGCCUGGUACCAGCAGGCAGCAGCAAGGUAAUAAAUUAUACCAACUUACCAAGUUACUAACUGCUAGCAUGCACUAAUAAACAAAUGAAGCAUUGUCUUUGUCUGGUUAACCUAUACAUAUGAAGCAUGAACUAAUAAACAAAUGAACUAGACGAUCCGAACUAAUAAUCAGCUAAUAAUCAGCACUUCAGCAGCUGCCAGCAUGUCCAAAUGGAGGAGAAUGAAUUCCCUAUAAAAUUUAAAAAACUAGCAGCUGCCGGCACGAACUAAUAAUCAGCACUAAUAAUCAACGGCUGCUGGUGCGCCGUGCGCUUGUGUGCGACUGCACGGUGCCGCCGCUGGCCGCCUACGCCUGGCCACCUAGAGUGACGACGCCGCCUCCUGGGAGGAUGGGACUACCGGACUGACCAGCUCACGACUGCUGGUGGCUGGUGCCCGUGCGCGUGUGCGCGACUGCGCGCUGCGCGGUGCAGCCGCCUGGCCCCCUGCCAGCUGGGUGAGGACGCCGCCUGGGGCUGGGAGCCUGGGAGAACGCCGUCGGUCGCCUGGGAAGGAAGUGCGUGGGAGUGGGACCGUGGGAGGCUGGGAGCUAGGCUUGCGACUUUGCG
This 916-nucleotide long non-coding RNA is filed under the name Zea mays. RNAcentral's name for it is "long non-coding RNA NONZMAT004345". The record is from RNAcentral. Lineage: Eukaryota; Viridiplantae; Streptophyta; Magnoliopsida; Poales; Poaceae.